GACGAACGCUGGCGGCGUGCUUAACACAUGCAAGUCGAACGGAAAGGCCCUGCUUUUGUGGGGUGCUCGAGUGGCGAACGGGUGAGUAACACGUGAGUAACCUGCCCUUGACUUUGGGAUAACUUCAGGAAACUGGGGCUAAUACCGGAUAGGAGCUCCUGCUGCAUGGUGGGGGUUGGAAAGUUUCGGCGGUUGGGGAUGGACUCGGGGCUUAUCAGCUUGUUGGUGGGGUAGUGGCUGACCAAGGCUUUGACGGGUAGCCGGCCUGGGAGGGUGACCGGCCACAUGGGGACUGAGGUACGGCCCAGACUCCUACGGGAGGCAGCAGUGGGGAAUAUUGCACAAUGGGCGGAAGCCUGAUGCAGCAACGCCGCGUGCGGGAUGACGGCCUUCGGGUUGUAAACCGCUUUCGCCUGUGACGAAGCGUGAGUGACGGUAAUGGGUAAAGAAGCACCGGCUAACUACGUG
Molecule: ribosomal RNA, 468 nt
Filed under: uncultured bacterium
Lineage: Bacteria
Description: partial 16S ribosomal RNA
Rfam family: Bacterial small subunit ribosomal RNA
Source: RNAcentral